UUCGAUACGAAGCGAUGAACCUUACCCGGGUUUGAAAUGUACCUGCACGGCCCCAGAAACGGGGCAAGCCUUAGAGGGUGGUACACAGCUGUUGCAUGGCUGUCGUCAGCUCGUGACGUGAGUUGUUCUCUUAAGUGAGGUAACGAGCGCAACCCCCAUUCUGUGUUACUAUGUCACAGAAGACUGCCCAGCAUUAUUUUGUUGGGAGGAAGGAGGGGACGACGUCAAGUCAUCAUGAUGCUUAUAUCCGGGGCUACACACAUCCUACAAUGGGUGGUACAGAGGGUCGCAAUACCGCGAGGUGGAGCUAAUCCUUAAAACCUCCCUCAGUUGGGAUUGCAGGCUGAAACUCGCCUGCAUGAACUUGGAAUUGGUAGUAAUCGCAAAUCAGCAGAUUGCGGUGAAUACGUUCUCGCCUCUUG
This 422-nucleotide ribosomal RNA is filed under the name bacterium enrichment culture DGGE gel band B19. Its description in RNAcentral is "bacterial SSU rRNA". It matches the Rfam family "Bacterial small subunit ribosomal RNA", at positions 950 to 1383 of the family's 1533-position model. The record is from RNAcentral.